Molecule: long non-coding RNA, 364 nt
Organism: Sinocyclocheilus rhinocerous
Lineage: Eukaryota; Metazoa; Chordata; Actinopteri; Cypriniformes; Cyprinidae
Exons: 3
Source: RefSeq, a predicted model, not a curated record
CUCAUACACAGCAGAAGCCUGACAUUACAACUCCUGAUUUCAGCGGCGUCAGAGUGUCUGAUAUCUUCCACCGACUGGGGCCGCUGUCUGUGUUCGCCGCUCGAAAUCGCUGGGUGCGGCGGCAUGUGUGUUUGGUUCGAGGAGAGGCGGGGCUCGGGCUCACGCUUCGAGGUGAUUCGCCGGUUCUGGUUGCUGGGGUGUUGCCAGGGGGAUGUGCUGCGGAGGCGGGACUCCGUGAGGGCGAUUAUAUCGUGGCUGUGAACGGCGCAGACUGCAGGUGGGCCGAACACGCUGAGGUCGUUCACGCGCUGAAGAGCUGCACAGAGAGAGGACUAGAGCUGGACGUCAUCACUCUACAGUCACA